CUUGCUAAGUUUGAUGGCGACCGGCGCACGGGUGAGUAACACGUAUCCAACCUGCCGAUGACUCGGGGAUAGCCUUUCGAAAGAAAGAUUAAUACCCGAUGGCAUAGUUCUUCCGCAUGGUGGAACUAUUAAAGAAUUUCGGUCAUCGAUGGGAUGCGUUCCAUUAGGUUGUUCGGCGGGGUAACGGCCCACCAAGCCUUCGAUGGAUAGGGGUUCUGAGAGGAAGGUCCCCCACAUUGGAACUGAAACACGGUCCAAACUCCUACGGGAGGCAGCAUG
RNAcentral lists this ribosomal RNA (279 nucleotides) under uncultured bacterium. Its description in RNAcentral is "partial 16S ribosomal RNA". It matches the Rfam family "Bacterial small subunit ribosomal RNA", at positions 76 to 353 of the family's 1533-position model. The record is from RNAcentral.